This is a long non-coding RNA of Struthio camelus australis, 1448 nucleotides long. RefSeq lists it as uncharacterized. Lineage: Eukaryota; Metazoa; Chordata; Aves; Struthioniformes; Struthionidae. The record is from RefSeq and is a predicted model, not a curated record.
GGCAACUUCACUCAUGUCUUUGGCGUUGAGGAUCAGCAGGUAGGCAGGCUUGGGCCCUGCGCCAGGGCUGAUGACUAUGCUCAGCACAACCCCUAGUCGGCAAGAAAAGGAACAGUUCUGUCCCAGGUAUGUGUCAUUCCUUAUCCUUCACUUACAUCACAGCACUGGGCCCUAGUAAAUCUCAAUUAUUUUUCCCCUUUCAUAGUUAUUUUAAAUUCUUGCUGUCAUUCUGCUUCCCAGCCAGGGGUACUGUGGCAGUAUCGCUCCUAAAUAGUUUCCUUCUAGAACUGUGAACUAUGAAAAGCUAUUGCAAGGGCCUCUGACAAAUGCCACUUAGUGGAAUUUCUAUCAAAUUUGUCAACAUUAAAAGUUGGAGGAAAAAAAGGAGUGGUUUGGCUUAUAAUUCUGCUUCUCAGGUGACAAGAUUCUUGUUUCUGGAUCCUGGCCCUUUCAUAAGGAAUGGGUGGAACAUUCUAGCUCUUAGGGUUUUUGUUCCUUUGUGUACUCUUUUGGUCAGUCAUUGAAGGAAAACAAGAGAGAGGAUCUCUCUGCUACUGUCUCCUGUGGCUUCUGUCAGCCCCGUUCACUAGUUUGUAUUCUGUCUCAGUCACGUGGCUAGAUCUGCUACUGAUGUCCUAAGCUGGAGCUAAGAGCUGACUAAACAUACAAAAUAACCCAUGACAGCCAUCAGCCAUACUGCCUUGGGGAAGAGCACAGAAAUGUGAGCAUGGAACCUGGUUAAUUUAGAUUCAGGAAAGUGCAUGUGCAGGGACUCGAGUCCUAUGAAGUGAAAAAGAUAAAAAGGACUUAAGCAUAUUCCUAAAGUGCUUGUUCUAUCUUCAUUUAAAAGAAAGCUUCCAAGAACAUACUUAAAUCUUUUUUUUGCUUGUGAAGGUCCCCAUGACGUUCUUUCCUCAACUGGAGUAGGGACAGAGCAUACGAGAUUAUGGCUCCAUAUAAACCUGGAAGUUUGCUCUCAACUUCAGCAUAGCCAAGCUUUCUCCUAGCGUCAUGUAAUCCAGCUCAGAAAUGAGGAAGUGGACACCCUUUCAGUCUAAAGGCUCCAGCUCACCUUCAGAAAUAGGACAUGAUUUUCUACAGUUCAUUCAGAAGUUGGAUUAACUGACCUGCUUGAAGUGGAGGAAUCCGUAUAAUAUUAUAGACUCAGCAGAGGAUGCCCAACCCCGAAAAGUCUAGAGAUUCCACAUCCAGUCUGUGCUUCCUCUACUCCAGAGUACGGCAGAUCCACAUUUCAGCCACGCGCUCCAGGACCUCCAGCACCUCUGUGAGCUGGUGACCCACGUGCUUUGAGAAUAAAAGCUGGGCCCGGAAAGAACGUGAAAGGAGAUUAGUGCGACCAUACAAACCUGUGACAUGAGCAGUUACCGGAGAGGACAACUCCUCCACAGUCUCAAAGAGCUUCUUGUACCCUCCAGCAGGGUGUUCAA